UACGGAGGGUGCGAGCGUUGUCCGGAAUCACUGGGCGUAAAGGGCGCGUAGGCGGCGCGAGAAGUCAACGGUGAAAGCCCGGGGCUCAACCCCGGAUCGGCCGUCGAUACUCUCGUGCUUGAGCACUGUAGAGGCAGGUGGAAUUCCGGGUGUAGCGGUGGAAUGCGUAGAGAUGUGGAGGAACACCGAUGGCGAAGGCAGCCUCCUGGGCCAGCACUGACGCUCAUGCACGAAAGCGUGGGGAGCAAACAGG
RNAcentral lists this ribosomal RNA (253 nucleotides) under uncultured bacterium. RNAcentral describes it as "partial 16S ribosomal RNA". It matches the Rfam family "Bacterial small subunit ribosomal RNA", at positions 524 to 776 of the family's 1533-position model. The record is from RNAcentral.